ACGGGGGGAGCAAGCGUUGUCCGGAAUUACUAGGCGUAAAGGGCAAGUAGGCGGAACAAUUAGUCAGGUGUUAAAGGCGUCGGCUCAACCGGCGUACGGCAUUUGAUACUGUUGUUCUAGAGUAAGGUGGGGGAAGACGGAAUUCCUGGUGUAGCGGUGGAAUGCGGAGAUAUCAGGAAGAACACCGGUGGCGAAGGCGGUCUUCUAUACCAUUACUGACGCUCAAUUGCGAAGGUGUGGGUAUCGAACAGG
RNAcentral lists this ribosomal RNA (252 nucleotides) under uncultured bacterium. Its description in RNAcentral is "partial 16S ribosomal RNA". It matches the Rfam family "Bacterial small subunit ribosomal RNA", at positions 525 to 776 of the family's 1533-position model. The record is from RNAcentral.